Molecule: RNA transcript, 883 nt
Organism: Sarcophilus harrisii (Tasmanian devil)
Lineage: Eukaryota; Metazoa; Chordata; Mammalia; Dasyuromorphia; Dasyuridae
Exons: 2
Source: RefSeq, a predicted model, not a curated record
CUCCUGUCAUCCUGGCUGCCCUGCCCCCCAGAACUCUCCAUCCAGCCGAAUCUCAAUGGUGUCCUCAUCCCUCCCCACCUGAGGACCUCCACCACCGCUACCGCCGUCACCUCCCCCUCAUCCUCACAUGGUUUAGGGGAGAGCCCGGAGCGGCCGGGACAGGAGCCUUCCACAUCUGUAGCCAACUCCUCCUGAGGCCCCAGGUUGGCCCCUCCCACCUUCGGUCCGGAAGCCCUGGCCCGGAGGCCCGGGUCCUAGAGCCUGCCUUCUCCCCAUCCCUGGCUGGGGUCAGUUUUUAGAUGGGGGACAAGGAAAGGGGAGAAGACGGCUGAGACCCAGGUCCCUCCUACCUCACAGAGGCAAAAGCCUGGCAGGGGAAAUGGAGGAGGGGGUGCCCCCUGACCCCCUUCACCCUCUGUUCCUCCCCCUCCCCCCGCAUUGGGCUGGCUGGCCAAGCUAGCUUUUUAACAGAGGAUUUUAACUGGGUGUUGGGGGGUGGUGGAGAGAGAAGGAAGAGGCUCUCUGGGCUUGAGCACUCCCCCCAACCCCUGCCACCCCCCCAUUUGUCCCUUGUAAAUAGGACCAGACCCUGCCUCAGGCCCCCUUUUUCCUGACCCCUUCCCUUCUCUUCUCCCGGGUGUAAAUAGAUUGUUAUAAUUUUUUCUUAAAGAAAAUGUUGCAAUGAUUCGCGCCGCCCAUCUCCCUGCCCCAGCUGUGAUCCCAUCCGCCCUCCCUGCUGUCCCCCCAGCCCCCCUCCUCUUGCCCCCAUCCCCCUGGGACAGGAAGGGAGGGGGGCUGGGGGAGCCCCGAUGUCUUAGUUCCCACAGUAGGGUUUGCCUGUGUACAGAACUUUCCGUUCAAUAAAUUAUUGGCAUGAGAAGGA